UGUGAAGCAGAAUUCACCA
This 19-nucleotide non-coding RNA is filed under the name Arabidopsis thaliana (thale cress). Lineage: Eukaryota; Viridiplantae; Streptophyta; Magnoliopsida; Brassicales; Brassicaceae. RNAcentral also lists the same sequence under 2 other names. The record is from RNAcentral.